AGUGAACGCUGGCGGUAGGCCUAACACAUGCAAGUCGAACGGCAGCACAGUAAGAGCUUGCUCUUACGGGUGGCGAGUGGCGGACGGGUGAGGAAUACAUCGGAAUCUACUUUUUCGUGGGGGAUAACGUAGGGAAACUUACGCUAAUACCGCAUACGACCUACGGGUGAAAGCAGGGGAUCUUCGGACCUUGCGCGAUUGAAUGAGCCGAUGUCGGAUUAGCUAGUUGGCGGGGUAAAGGCCCACCAAGGCGACGAUCCGUAGCUGGCCUGAGAGGGUGAUCGGCGACACUGGAACUGAGACACGGUUCAGACUACUACGGGAGGCACCAGUAGGGAAUCUUCCGCAAUGGGCGAAAGCCUGACGGAGCAAAGCCGCGUGAGUGAUGAAGGUCUUCGGAUCGUAAAACUCUGUGAUUAGGGAAGAACAAAUGCGGAAGUAAAUAUGCACGUCUUGACGGGACCUAAUCAGAAAGCCACGGCUAACCACGUG
This 492-nucleotide ribosomal RNA is filed under the name uncultured bacterium. RNAcentral describes it as "partial 16S ribosomal RNA". It matches the Rfam family "Bacterial small subunit ribosomal RNA", at positions 29 to 507 of the family's 1533-position model. The record is from RNAcentral.